This is a long non-coding RNA of Hylaeus volcanicus, 687 nucleotides long. RefSeq lists it as uncharacterized. The transcript has 2 exons. NCBI's taxonomy places the organism in Eukaryota, Metazoa, Arthropoda, Insecta, Hymenoptera, Colletidae. The record is from RefSeq and is a predicted model, not a curated record.
GAGGUUUUCUUUUAAAACAACAAAAAUACACAUUUUUCUAUCCAAGGCGUUUGAAUACCAUUCUCAAUUUUAAUUUUUAGUUUUUUUUUCUAAACAAUCCGAAGUUUUCACUCAAAAAAAAAGUUUUUCUUCCUUUGUACAAAAUACAAAAGAAACUUUCUUUUUUCACCAGGUAUUUUACUUUUGCUUAUUUUGGGCUUUCAAAUGUCUUUUUUUGUCUUAAAAAACCGUUACGUCAUGAGGCGUCCUUUCGGAGCUCAUAGUUGGACAUCUAGUCUAUCCUUUUAGGGGAAAACUGAAUGGAACGGCGAGUUUCGUCUUUGUCUGAGCGACUCAUUAGUAGAAUUCCGUUUCCGCUUAUUGCUAGACUAAUUCCAGACAGUCGUUACGGCCCAUUGUAAAGAGAGAUUCCUAUCUUUUGGGUCAUGGGUGGGGACUCCAUCCAUUUAGCUUCUCCGAUGGUUGACCCAUUCAGCUUUAAUGUCUUGAAUGAACCUCUCCAUCCAUUUUAUUUUUUCUUAUAUAAAACCUUAAAAUGUUUUAUUUACUUAUAUAAAACGUUAAAAUGUUUUAUUUUCUUACAUAAAACGUUAAAACCUUAAAAUGUUUUUUCUAUAUAAAAUGUUAAAACGUUAAUCUUUUCUAUAUACGAAAUAUUAAACCUUUAAUUUUUCUACUUAUAUAAAA